Molecule: ribosomal RNA, 235 nt
Filed under: uncultured Lactobacillus sp.
Lineage: Bacteria; Bacillati; Bacillota; Bacilli; Lactobacillales; Lactobacillaceae
Description: partial 16S ribosomal RNA
Rfam family: Bacterial small subunit ribosomal RNA
Source: RNAcentral
UGCCCAAGAGAUCGGGAUAACACCUGGAAACAGAUGCUAAUACCGGAUAACAACAGAUGAUGCCUAUCAACUGUUUAAAAGAUGGUUCUGCUAUCACUCUUGGAUGGACCUGCGGUGCAUUAGCUAGUUGGUAGGGUAACGGCCUGCCAAGGCGAUGAUGCAUAGCCGAGUUGAGAGACUGAUCGGCCACAUUGGGACUGAGACACGGCCCAAACUCCUACGGGAGGCAGCAGGC